This 1569-nucleotide ribosomal RNA is filed under the name Enterobacter cloacae complex sp. P43RS. RNAcentral's name for it is "partial 23S ribosomal RNA". It matches the Rfam family "Bacterial large subunit ribosomal RNA", at positions 590 to 2141 of the family's 2925-position model. Lineage: Bacteria; Pseudomonadati; Pseudomonadota; Gammaproteobacteria; Enterobacterales; Enterobacteriaceae. The record is from RNAcentral.
GGUGUGACUGCGUACCUUUUGUAUAAUGGGUCAGCGACUUAUAUUCUGUAGCAAGGUUAACCGUAUAGGGGAGCCGCAGGGAAACCGAGUCUUAACUGGGCGUUAAGUUGCAGGGUAUAGACCCGAAACCCGGUGAUCUAGCCAUGGGCAGGUUGAAGGUUGGGUAACACUAACUGGAGGACCGAACCGACUAAUGUUGAAAAAUUAGCGGAUGACCUGUGGCUGGGGGUGAAAGGCCAAUCAAACCGGGAGAUAGCUGGUUCUCCCCGAAAGCUAUUUAGGUAGCGCCUCGUGAACUCAUCUUCGGGGGUAGAGCACUGUUUCGGCUAGGGGGCCAUCCCGGCUUACCAACCCGAUGCAAACUACGAAUACCGAAGAAUGUUAUCACGGGAGACACACGGCGGGUGCUAACGUCCGUCGUGAAGAGGGAAACAACCCAGACCGCCAGCUAAGGUCCCAAAGUCAUGGUUAAGUGGGAAACGAUGUGGGAAGGCACAGACAGCCAGGAUGUUGGCUUAGAAGCAGCCAUCAUUUAAAGAAAGCGUAAUAGCUCACUGGUCGAGUCGGCCUGCGCGGAAGAUGUAACGGGGCUAAACCAUGCACCGAAGCUGCGGCAGCGACGCUUAUGCGUUGUUGGGUAGGGGAGCGUUCUGUAAGCCGUUGAAGGUGUGCUGUGAGGCAUGCUGGAGGUAUCAGAAGUGCGAAUGCUGACAUAAGUAACGAUAAAGCGGGUGAAAAGCCCGCUCGCCGGAAGACCAAGGGUUCCUGUCCAACGUUAAUCGGGGCAGGGUGAGUCGACCCCUAAGGCGAGGCCGAAAGGCGUAGUCGAUGGGAAACAGGUUAAUAUUCCUGUACUUGGUGUUACUGCGAAGGGGGGACGGAGAAGGCUAUGUCAGCCGGGCGACGGUUGUCCCGGUUUAAGCGUGUAGGUGUGUGUUCCAGGCAAAUCCGGUUCACUUUAACACUGAGGCGUGAUGACGAGGCACUACGGUGCUGAAGUGAUAAAUGCCCUGCUUCCAGGAAAAGCCUCUAAGCAUCAGGUAACACGAAAUCGUACCCCAAACCGACACAGGUGGUCAGGUAGAGAAUACCAAGGCGCUUGAGAGAACUCGGGUGAAGGAACUAGGCAAAAUGGUGCCGUAACUUCGGGAGAAGGCACGCUGAUAUGUAGGUGAAGCCCCUGCGGGCGGAGCUGAAAUCAGUCGAAGAUACCAGCUGGCUGCAACUGUUUAUUAAAAACACAGCACUGUGCAAACACGAAAGUGGACGUAUACGGUGUGACGCCUGCCCGGUGCCGGAAGGUUAAUUGAUGGGGUUAGCGGCAACGCGAAGCUCUUGAUCGAAGCCCCGGUAAACGGCGGCCGUAACUAUAACGGUCCUAAGGUAGCGAAAUUCCUUGUCGGGUAAGUUCCGACCUGCACGAAUGGCGUAAUGAUGGCCAGGCUGUCUCCACCCGAGACUCAGUGAAAUUGAACUCGCUGUGAAGAUGCAGUGUACCCGCGGCAAGACGGAAAGACCCCGUGAACCUUUACUAUAGCUUGACACUGAACACUGGUCCUUGAUGUGUAG